CUACGGGUUGCACCAGUGGGGAAUAUUGCACAAUGGGGGAAACCCUGAUGCAGCGACGCCGCGUGAAGGAUGAAGGAUUUCGGUUCGUAAACUUCUAUCAGCAGGGAAGAUAGUGACUGUACCUGACUAAGAAGCCCCGGCUAACUACGUGCCAGCAGCCGCGGUAAUACGUAGGGGGCAAGCGUUAUCCGGAAUUACUGGGUGUAAAGGGUGCGUAGGUGGUUACUUAAGUCAGAUGUGAAAGCCCGGGGCUCAACCUCGGGACUGCAUUUGAAACUGGGUAACUAGAAUACAGGAGAGGUAAGUGGAAUUCCUAGUGUAGCGGUGAAAUGCGUAGAUAUUAGGAGGAACACCAGUGGCGAAGGCGACUUACUGGACUGUUAUUGACACUGAGGCACGAAAGCGUGGGGAGCGAACAGGAUUAGAUACCCUCGUAGUC
This 439-nucleotide ribosomal RNA is filed under the name uncultured bacterium. RNAcentral's name for it is "partial 16S ribosomal RNA". It matches the Rfam family "Bacterial small subunit ribosomal RNA", at positions 339 to 795 of the family's 1533-position model. The record is from RNAcentral.